GACGAACGCUGGCGGCGUGCUUAACACAUGCAAGUCGAACGGAAAGGCCCUGCUUUUGUGGGGUGCUCGAGUGGCGAACGGGUGAGUAACACGUGAGUAACCUGCCCUUGACUUUGGGAUAACUUCAGGAAACUGGGGCUAAUACCGGAUAGGAGCUCCUGCUGCAUGGUGGGGGUUGGAAAGUUUCGGCGGUUGGAGAUGGACUCGCGGCUUAUCAGCUUGUUGGUGGGGUAGUGGCUUACCAAGGCUUUGACGGGUAGCCGGCCUGAGAGGGUGACCGGCAACAUUGGGACUGAGAGACGGCCCAGACUCCUACGGGAGGCAGCAGUGGGGAAUAUUGCACAAUGAGCGGAAGCCUGAUGCAACAACGCCGCGUGCGGGAUGACGGCCUUCGGGUUGUAAACCGCUUUCGCCUGUGACGAAGCGUGAGUGACGGUAAUGGGUAAAGAAGCAACGGCUAACUACGUG
This 468-nucleotide ribosomal RNA is filed under the name uncultured bacterium. RNAcentral's name for it is "partial 16S ribosomal RNA". It matches the Rfam family "Bacterial small subunit ribosomal RNA", at positions 28 to 507 of the family's 1533-position model. The record is from RNAcentral.